This 517-nucleotide ribosomal RNA is filed under the name uncultured bacterium. Its description in RNAcentral is "partial 16S ribosomal RNA". It matches the Rfam family "Bacterial small subunit ribosomal RNA", at positions 355 to 864 of the family's 1533-position model. The record is from RNAcentral.
UGGGGAAUUUUGGACAAUGGGCGAAAGCCUGAUCCAGCAAUGCCGCGUGUGUGAAGAAGGCCUUCGGGUUGUAAAGCACUUUUGUCCGGAAAGAAAUCCUUGGCUCUAAUACAGUCGGGGGAUGACGGUACCGGAAGAAUAAGCACCGGCUAACUACGUGCCAGCAGCCGCGGUAAUACGUAGGGUGCAAGCGUUAAUCGGAAUUACUGGGCGUAAAGCGUGCGCAGGCGGUUUGCUAAGACCGAUGUGAAAUCCCCGGGCUCAACCUGGGAACUGCAUUGGUGACUGGCAGGCUAGAGUAUGGCAGGAGGGGGGUAGAAUUCCACGUGUAGCAGUGAAAUGCGUAGAGAUGUGGAGGAAUACCGAUGGCGAAGGCAGCCCCCUGGGCAAGUACUGACGCUCAUGCACGAAAGCGUGGGGAGCAAACNGGAUUAAUACCCUGGUAGUCCACGCCCUAAAANGAUGUCAACUAGUUGUUGGGGAUUCAUUUCCUUAGUAACGUAGCUAACGCGUGAAG